RNAcentral lists this ribosomal RNA (276 nucleotides) under uncultured bacterium. RNAcentral's name for it is "partial 16S ribosomal RNA". It matches the Rfam family "Bacterial small subunit ribosomal RNA", at positions 30 to 304 of the family's 1533-position model. The record is from RNAcentral.
UGAACGCUAGCGGCAGGCCUAAUACAUGCAAGUCGAGGGGUAACAGGUGUAGCAAUACAUGCUGACGACCGGCGCACGGGUGCGUAACACGUAUGCAACCUACCCAUUACUGGAGGAUAGCCCGAAGAAAUUCGGAUUAAUACUCCAUAGUAUAGUGAAGAGGCAUCUCUUUAUUAUUAAAACUCCGGUGGUAAUGGAUGGGCAUGCGUUGCAUUAGCUAGUGGUGAGGUAACGGCUCACCAAGGCUACGAUGCAUAGGGGAUCUGAGAGGAUUAU